Molecule: ribosomal RNA, 253 nt
Filed under: uncultured bacterium
Lineage: Bacteria
Description: partial 16S ribosomal RNA
Rfam family: Bacterial small subunit ribosomal RNA
Source: RNAcentral
UACGUAGGAUGCAAGCGUUGUCCGGAAUUAUUGGGCGUAAAGAGAACGUAGGUGGCUAGUUAAGUUCGGUCUUAAAGACCGGGGCUCAACCCCGGGAAUGGACUGAAAACUGGCUGGCUAGAGGAUGUUAGAGGACGGUGGAAUUCCCAGUGUAGCGGUGAAAUGCGUAGAUAUCGGAAGGAACACCUGUGGCGAAAGCGGCUCACUGGACCAUUACUGACGCUGAUGCACGAAAGCUAGGGGAGCAAACAGG